This 2271-nucleotide long non-coding RNA is filed under the name Sorghum bicolor (sorghum). RNAcentral describes it as "long non-coding RNA (SBIC_LNC009494)". The record is from RNAcentral. Lineage: Eukaryota; Viridiplantae; Streptophyta; Magnoliopsida; Poales; Poaceae.
GGCGACCCCGCGACAGGGCCACUUACACUUGCCCACCACCUUCCCAACCACCACGUACUACACCGUCUUUGGUCUCAAUUUUGCCUUUAAUUUAGGCCUUGUUUAGUUUCCAAAAAUUUUCAAGAUUCUCCGUUACAUCGAAUCUUGCGGCACAUGCAUGAUAUAUUAAAUAUACAUGAAAACAAAAACUAAUUACAUAGUUCAUCUGUAAAUCGCGUGACGAAUUUUUUAAGUCUAGUUACUUUAUAAUUGGACAAUGUUUGUCAAAUAAAAACGAAAGUGCUACAGUGUCAAAAACCAAAAAAAAAACCAAAAUUUUUUGCCAACUGAACACACAGGCUUAAUUUGUUCGUGUGGGUUUCGUGUUGUGUGUCGCGUUGGAUAAACUACAGUUUUUGUGGCACGCACGUUAUUGUGCUACAGGGGCGGACCACGGGGUAUGCCAGGUGGGCCACGGCAUACCCUGUGGGUCAGCCUCCUACUUAAUUAACAAUGUAUUAUAUAUAUAUAUAAAAAAUACAACUGUCAUUAUUGAUACAUCUUACUAGUCCAAUGGUAAGUUUUUUGUUCUGUAACCAAGAGAUCGCUGGUUCAAACCAUCGGGGCUGCAAUUUUUUUUUCCAUUUUACGUUUUGUACUUCUUUGUUCAAACCGUCGGGGCUGCAAAUUUUUUUUCCAUUUUACGUUUUGUAUUUCUUUAUUCUCUGUUUUUGCCCUUUCAAAAAUUAACUAUAUAUAAUAUAUUUCUUUCUUUAGUUUUUAUAUUUAUCCAUUUUGUUGUGUCUCGUAAAACCUCACCUGCGAAUAGUUAUUAUUUUGAAUUACAUAUUUCAUCCUUUCUUUUACUAUUUUUUCAUCCCAUCUUGUUAUAAGUUUCUUUUAUGGCUAUUAUUUUGAAUUAUUUGUAUUUCUUUUCUUUAUAUCAUAAUUAGUUAUAGUUUUUAGCUAAUCUUUAAAUUUAAGGCUUAUCGUGUUAUUUAAUGGACAUAGUUUUAUCUAAUUGGAAAUAGUUUUACCGAAUUGCGUAAAAUUAUUUUCUUAUGUGGCAUACCCUACCAUAAAAUUCUAGGUCCGCCACUGUUGUACUAUACUAGUACUAUCAGUAUCAGUUAUGUGACUGUUGACACGGCGAUGUGUAGUGUGUGUGUAUAUGAGAGAGGAAAUUAACCCGCAUGUACACGUUCUAAUUAAGUGAGCUGCUGGUAUCACAACUAAGCUAAUCUAAGGCUUGUCAAUGAAAUUAACCUUUGUCUCUGACACAGACAGAAACUAUUGCAUGCAUCAUCUUUGGAUGCCUCAGUGCGAUUAAAAUUCAGUGUACCCCCGGCCCGAACUAAUGUAUAGAAUGUCGUCACGUUGGUUGACGGUUGAAUAAAUCCUGGGUAGUCCUACACUGGGACAGAGUAUAUAAAAAAGGGAUGACGGCUGAAUGAACGAAAUGCUUGAAUCAUUCAUUCAUUCAGUUCAUUUGGAUGGCACCGGCCCGUCAGCGAUCAGGCUGAUGAGCAGGAAACAUCCGGAGCGUUUGGGGUCAGAUUACGUGACGGAUCCGCUGAAUCUUUGAGCGUGACCGCCCCUGCUCGCUCUCAGCUGGCUAUUUUUUUUAUUUGAUAAUCGGGAUAAGAUAUACUCCAUCUGUUCUAAAAAAGAAUAUUUUUUUAGGUUUUCGUGCUACAAGUUUGACUCAAUUUAUAAAAAAUACAUAUAAUAUUUUUAUCUCUAAAUAAAUUUGUUAAAAAACUAGACUUAAAGAUCUUUCCAAUGAUACUAAUUAUAUACUAUAAAUAUUAAUAUUUUUACUAUACAUAUAGUUAAAGUUAUUUCUCAGGAAGCGCAAACGACAUUUAUUUUGGGAUGGAGAUAAUAUAUAGCAAGAGUUAAGGACAACAACAACAACAACAAGUCCUUUUAGUAGUGUUUUUCUCUUAUAACAAACUAGGAGGAUUCCUCGCGCGUUGCCGCAGGUAUGAAGAAGGAAUAUAAAUAUAUAUAACUUUGUUAUUAACAUAAUCAUAGAAAUUAUAUUCAUAGUGGAUGAUGUGGCUCGCUAAUGUGGAUGCCAUAAUUCUUGUGCUAAUGAAAUUUAAUGCAAAUGAUAGUAGAUUGCUGAGGUGGACACCUUGCAUGUCAAACGAAAUUCAUAGUGGUGAAUGAUAGUGGAGGCUGCUGAGGUGGACGUUUUACAUUUUAAGAGAAAUAUAUAGUGAGGUUGAUAGUGGACUGCUAAGGUGAAUGCAUUGCAUGUCAAGUGAGGUUGAUAGUGGACUACUG